UUAGAGUUUGAUCCUGGCUCAGAUUGAACGCUGGCGGCAGGCCUAACACAUGCAAGUCGAGCGGUAGAGAGAAGCUUGCUUCUCUUGAGAGCGGCGGACGGGUGAGUAAUGCCUAGGAAUCUGCCUGGUAGUGGGGGAUAACGUUCGGAAACGGACGCUAAUACCGCAUACGUCCUACGGGAGAAAGCAGGGGACCUUCGGGCCUUGCGCUAUCAGAUGAGCCUAGGUCGGAUUAGCUAGUUGGUGAGGUAAUGGCUCACCAAGGCGACGAUCCGUAACUGGUCUGAGAGGAUGAUCAGUCACACUGGAACUGAGACACGGUCCAGACUCCUACGGGAGGCAGCAGUGGGGAAUAUUGGACAAUGGGCGAAAGCCUGAUCCAGCCAUGCCGCGUGUGUGAAGAAGGUCUUCGGAUUGUAAAGCACUUUAAGUUGGGAGGAAGGGCAGUUACCUAAUACGUGAUUGUUUUGACGUUACCGACAGAAUAAGCACCGGCUAACUCUGUGCCAGCAGCCGCGGUAAUACAGAGGGUGCAAGCGUUAAUCGGAAUUACUGGGCGUAAAGCGCGCGUAGGUGGUUAGUUAAGUUGGAUGUGAAAUCCCCGGGCUCAACCUGGGAACUGCAUUCAAAACUGACUGACUAGAGUAUGGUAGAGGGUGGUGGAAUUUCCUGUGUAGCGGUGAAAUGCGUAGAUAUAGGAAGGAACACCAGUGGCGAAGGCGACCACCCUGGACUGAUACUGACCACUGAGGGUGCGAAAGCCGUGGGAGCAA
This 773-nucleotide ribosomal RNA is filed under the name Pseudomonas sp. BND-R17. RNAcentral's name for it is "bacterial SSU rRNA". It matches the Rfam family "Bacterial small subunit ribosomal RNA", at positions 1 to 771 of the family's 1533-position model. Lineage: Bacteria; Pseudomonadati; Pseudomonadota; Gammaproteobacteria; Pseudomonadales; Pseudomonadaceae. The record is from RNAcentral.